RNAcentral lists this unclassified non-coding RNA (203 nucleotides) under Hevea brasiliensis (rubber tree). The record is from RNAcentral. Lineage: Eukaryota; Viridiplantae; Streptophyta; Magnoliopsida; Malpighiales; Euphorbiaceae.
GAAAUUGGUCCUUCAGUAAAUUGGAACACCAUGAAGAUGGUAUUGUUUAUGAUUGUGGUCGGCUCUUUCCUGAGCCUCCUUACCCUAGAGAGGUAAAAUUGAUGGAAUCUGAUCCAAAUAAAAGGCGAGGACUAUUUUUAAGUAUAGAGUGUAUAAAUACUCUGAAUGAAGGUCUCCUACUAGAGCAUCCAUUUGCAGCAUGC